GACGAACGCUGGCGGCGUGCUUAACACAUGCAAGUCGAACGGAAAGGCCCUGCUUUUGUGGGGUUCUCGAGUGGCGAACGGGUGAGUAACACGUGAGUAACCUGCCCUUGACUUUGGGAUAACUUCAGGAAACUGGGGCUAAUAUCGGAUAGGAUCUCCUGCUGCAUGGUGGGGGUUGGAAAGUUUCGGCGGUUGGGGAUGGACUCGCGGCUUAUCAGCUUGUUGGUGGGGUAGUGGCUUACCAAGGCUUUGACGGGUAGCCGGCCUGAGAGGGUGACCGGCCACAUUGGGACUGAGAUACGGCCCAGACUCCUACGGGAGGCAGCAGUGGGGAAUAUUGCACAAUGGGCGGAAGCCUGAUGCAGCAACGCCGCGUGCGGGAUAACGGCCUUCGGGUUGUAAACCGCUUUCGCCUGUGACGAAGCGUGAGUGACGGUAAUGGGUAAAGAAGCACCGGCUAACUACGUG
RNAcentral lists this ribosomal RNA (468 nucleotides) under uncultured bacterium. Its description in RNAcentral is "partial 16S ribosomal RNA". It matches the Rfam family "Bacterial small subunit ribosomal RNA", at positions 28 to 507 of the family's 1533-position model. The record is from RNAcentral.